RNAcentral lists this ribosomal RNA (413 nucleotides) under Sclerotinia sclerotiorum. RNAcentral's name for it is "eukaryotic LSU rRNA". The stretch from base 123 to 276 matches the Rfam family "5.8S ribosomal RNA". Lineage: Eukaryota; Fungi; Ascomycota; Leotiomycetes; Helotiales; Sclerotiniaceae. The record is from RNAcentral.
GACCUCCCCCCUUGUGUUUAUUACUUUGUUGCUUUGGCGAGCUGCCCUCCUUUAAGGGAUGCUCGCCAGAGAAUACCAAAACUCUUUUUAUUAAUGUCGUCUGAGUACUAUAUAAUAGUUAAAACUUUCAACAACGGAUCUCUUGGUUCUGGCAUCGAUGAAGAACGCAGCGAAAUGCGAUAAGUAAUGUGAAUUGCAGAAUUCAGUGAAUCAUCGAAUCUUUGAACGCACAUUGCGCCCCUUGGUAUUCCGGGGGGCAUGCCUGUUCGAGCGUCAUUUCAACCCUCAAGCUUAGCUUGGUAUUGAGUCUAUGUCAGUAAUGGCAGGCUCUAAAAUCAGUGGCGGCGCCGCUGGGUCCUGAACGUAGUAAUAUCUCUCGUUACAGGUUCUCGGUGUGCUUCUGCCAAAACCCA